RNAcentral lists this ribosomal RNA (497 nucleotides) under uncultured bacterium. RNAcentral's name for it is "partial 16S ribosomal RNA". It matches the Rfam family "Bacterial small subunit ribosomal RNA", at positions 28 to 507 of the family's 1533-position model. The record is from RNAcentral.
GAUGAACGCUGGCGGCGUGCCUAAUACAUGCAAGUCGAGCGAACGGACGAGAAGCUUGCUUCUCUGAUGUUAGCGGCGGACGGGUGAGUAACACGUGGAUAGCCUACCUAUAAGACUGGGAUAACUUCGGGAAACCGGAGCUAAUACCGGAUAAUAUUUUGAACCGCAUGGUUCAAAAGUGAAAGACGGUCUUGCUGUCACUUAUAGAUGGAUCCGCGCUGCAUUAGCUAGUUGGCAAGGUAACGGCUUACCAAGGCAACGAUGCAUAGCCGACCUGAGAGGGUGAUCGGCCACACUGGAACUGAGACACGGUCCAGACUCCUACGGGAGGCAGCAGUAGGGAAUCUUCCGCAAUGGGCGAAAGCCUGACGGAGCAACGCCGCGUGAGUGAUGAAGGUCUUCGGAUCGUAAAACUCUGUUAUUAGGGAAGAACAUAUGUGUAAGUAACUGUGCACAUCUUGACGGUACCUAAUCAGAAAGCCACGGCUAACUACGUG